Molecule: non-coding RNA, 96 nt
Organism: Acanthosepion pharaonis
Lineage: Eukaryota; Metazoa; Mollusca; Cephalopoda; Sepiida; Sepiidae
Source: the annotation of a GenBank genome assembly
UUGAAACACCGGUUGCCGUAAGAUCACCGAUGUUAAGUAACGUUGAGCCUGGUCUGUACCUAGAUGGAUGAUCGCUUGCGAAUACCAGGUCCUGUA